AUAGAACGCUAGCGGCAGGCUUAAUACAUGCAAGUUGAGGGGCAGCAUGAUAUACGCGAGUAUAUUGAUGGCGACCGGCGGACGGGUGAGUAAUAGGUAGGAGACCUACCUCAUACAGGGGGAUAGCAUAGAGAAAUCUGUGGUGAUACCCCAUGAGGUUAUAUGAAUAGAGGCAUAUAAUCAAAGCAUAAGCGAUUAUGCGGUAUGAGAGGGGCCUACUGACCAUUAGCUAGUUGGUGAGGUAAGGGCUCACCAAGGCGAAGAUGGUUAGGGGUUUUGAGAGAGAGACCCCCCACAUUGGAACUGAGAGACGGUCCAGACUCCUACGGGAGGCAGCAGUAGGGAAUAUUGGGCAAUGGGCGAAAGCCUGACCCAGCCAUGCCACGUGAAGGAAGACGGCCUUAUGGGUUGUAAACUUCUUUACUACGCGAAUAGAGGUUAGUACGAGAUACUAAUAGGAAGGUAGUGUAGUAAAAAGCACCGGCUAACUCCGUG
Molecule: ribosomal RNA, 495 nt
Filed under: uncultured bacterium
Lineage: Bacteria
Description: bacterial SSU rRNA
Rfam family: Bacterial small subunit ribosomal RNA
Source: RNAcentral